This 253-nucleotide ribosomal RNA is filed under the name uncultured bacterium. RNAcentral's name for it is "partial 16S ribosomal RNA". It matches the Rfam family "Bacterial small subunit ribosomal RNA", at positions 524 to 776 of the family's 1533-position model. The record is from RNAcentral.
UACGGAGGGUGCAAGCGUUAUCCGGAUUCACUGGGUUUAAAGGGUGCGUAGGUGGGCUUGUAAGUCAGUGGUGAAAUCUCCGUGCUUAACAUGGAAACUGCCAUUGAUACUAUAGGUCUUGAAUUAUCUGGAGGUCAGCGGAAUAUGUCAUGUAGCGGUGAAAUGCUUAGAUAUGACAUAGAACACCAAUUGCGAAGGCAGCUGGCUACAGGUUGAUUGACACUGAGGCACGAAAGCGUGGGGAUCAAACAGG